ACAUCUGUAGCUCAGUAGGAUAGAGCAACGGUUUCCUAAACCGUGUGCCGGAGGUUCGAUCCCUCUCAGGUGUACCA
RNAcentral lists this transfer RNA (77 nucleotides) under Lutibacter sp. B2. RNAcentral's name for it is "tRNA-Arg". It matches the Rfam family "tRNA". From Rfam's summary of the family: Transfer RNA (tRNA) molecules are approximately 80 nucleotides in length. Their secondary structure includes four short double-helical elements and three loops (D, anti-codon, and T loops). The record is from RNAcentral. Lineage: Bacteria; Pseudomonadati; Bacteroidota; Flavobacteriia; Flavobacteriales; Flavobacteriaceae.